AAAAAGGGCUUCUGUCGUGAGUGGCACACAUAGGGCAACUUGCUCAUUCUGUGUGCAGAAUCAACAUCAAGAGAUUUUGGAAGCAUAAUUUUUUGAUGCUUGGGCAGCUGGUGAUCAUUGGUUCUGGCACCCUA
This is a small nuclear RNA of Heterocephalus glaber (naked mole-rat), 134 nucleotides long. Lineage: Eukaryota; Metazoa; Chordata; Mammalia; Rodentia; Bathyergidae. The record is from Ensembl.